Molecule: long non-coding RNA, 288 nt
Organism: Boleophthalmus pectinirostris (great blue-spotted mudskipper)
Lineage: Eukaryota; Metazoa; Chordata; Actinopteri; Gobiiformes; Gobiidae
Exons: 5
Source: RefSeq, a predicted model, not a curated record
GUUAGAUAACCAACCUAAACUUAUGUUGUUUUUCCCCAGAUGACAUCAGGAGCCCCUGUCCUUCUGCUGAGUGUCUCCAUCAGGAGCCCGGCACGCUGAUCAGAAAAUAUACAAUAGUUAAUAAGAAGAUGGACAUAACAGCAUGAUAAAGACCCUCUGGAGAAUUCCCUCUGCUGGGCCAAGUUCCAAAAAUGUAGAGACAGACCCUCUAACAUGCUGUGGUGGAGUUUAAAGACUGACCCUCUAUGCUGUGAGAAAGGGGAAGCCCAGAGCUGGACACUGACAGAC